RNAcentral lists this non-coding RNA (1713 nucleotides) under Pan troglodytes (chimpanzee). Lineage: Eukaryota; Metazoa; Chordata; Mammalia; Primates; Hominidae. The record is from RNAcentral.
UGUUGCUAUUGCUCCCCUUGCUACCGCUGACACUUGGCACCGCCGCCUCCUAGCAGCGGCCAGACGCGGGGCUGGGGGCCCUCCACGCAAACCGAAGGAGAUACGGACAUCGCCAUUCUCCCCACCGCGCGAGCCGGGCCCGCCACCCACGCAGGGGAGACCGUGCCCGUGCCCCUCUCCCGCGCCUGCCGCAGAUGCAGGGAAAACCGCCUGACAUCAUGAGAGCGGGACAAACGCUCACUUUGAAGGAUUCCUGGGCAGGACUUCAAGUGAAAUCAUAUGCCUGAGAAGAACUUGAUACCGGUCUAGAGAAAAUAACCAGUUCUGACUUUGCCAAACCAUGGAAUGUGCAAAAUGCUCUACUUUUUUGCAAGAGGCCAAAUGUCCCUUAAAAAGCUCCAUUAUGAAUAUGAACCUUAAGACCGAAGGGUCAAGAAGCUUGUGCCGUUGUUGAGUGUGGGAAAAAAUUUACACACAUCGUGCAAGUUUCUGCUCCUUAACAUUAUUUUAUUAAUAAUAAGUUCCACUUUGGGGAGGGGAACCUGUAACUGUGCGUGAAUUAUCAUCUGGACAUGUGCUUCUGUGAACAAAAGGGGAAAUGUGCAUAUGGGUAAAAAAAUUACAGCUUUCUUAUAACUAAAGGCUAUCAAUCUGACCAACUUAUAAGAUAAAAAUAAUCAAUAGCACAGUAAAGGAAACAUUAAAUUUUCUACAAUUUACCCAAGACAAUUUAAUACAAUACUUUCCCCUAGCAAAUGCAUUCUGAAGGAAAAAGAUCCCAAGUGAACCAACACAUUAAUUGGAAAGCGUUAGCUUCUUAUUUCCGAAAACAAGAGGUAAUUCAUUCUAUGUGUUCUUUAAAUAAGGGUAGGUAGCAAAAAUAAAAUGAAAUAACAUAAAAUCAAAAGAAGAUAUAAUGGUGGAGGAAAAGAAACAGGUGGCUUCAUUUCUAUUCUAAAAAAGAAUUUCACGAUUUAUGUCUUGUGUAUACAGGGGUAGGGAUUAGAAUCUGCAAGCUGGAAAUUGCAUUCCAGUAGUGAAUAUUUUUCAUUGUGCAGUCGCCUCAUUCAAAAUAAAAUUACCACCUUUUUCAUUCAUGUAUUUCUCUGAAAAUCUGGGGGGGAAACAUUACCUUCAGUUUAGUAUUUAAUAUUACUAUAAAUAUGGCAUUUGCUUUUCUCCAAAGUGUUUCCCCUUAUGAAAAAAGUAGAAAAAGCAAAACACAUUAAAAAAAGAAAGAAAUAAAAGAAAGGCAAAUGGAGAGCUACCUUUCUUUGACACAUCUAGUUCUUAUAUCCAGAGUUAAGAUAACAAUUACCUUCUCAGCAGUGAUGGCCAGCUCCAUCCUGGUGUACCUUAAGAAAUCUGAAAUAUCAAAUAGUCAGACCAAGCUAGUGAACAAGGAGACUCCCCAUGAAUAAUUUAGAAAAUGGAGGUGGUUGGAUGAUACGUACAAAAAAGAAUUACCAACCUAAUGCUUUCCCUCAUCCUCCUAGGGCACCCUCCUUACAUUUCUAACCUGCCUUACACACAACACACACACACCCCCCACAAAUACACCAACACAUAAUCGCCUUCCCUUUCUGUUAUUUGCUAAAGGACUAUCAAAAUAAAAAAAUAAUAAUACUUCUCCAAGCUUUCACUAACCUUUUAAUACAAGUAAAUGCUGCAGACUCCUUAUUGUAAAAUAUUGUCUGAAAUAUUAACAAUAAA